UACAUUUAACGAUACUAGUGGAGUAAUAAUCUGGCGGGGUCGGAUCUCUGACAAACACAUAGGAUUUAAUAACUGCACGGAUCGUAGACACGCAGCUCUACAUCAAGAUGAAAGGCGCACUUAAGGUCGUUCUUUUCCGGUUGUUCACUUUCGCUGGAGAUCUCACGAUCAGCAGCAUCAGAACCGCAGACUCUGGAGAAUAUAAACUAGAGAUCAGCAGCACAGAAGGACCCACAGAGAUCACAUUCCCUGUCAGUGAUGCAGAAGAUCCCGACUGCAGCUAAAGUUAACAGAGAUCCAACAACGGCAGCAGAGGUCAGCACUAUCUGAAGUGACGAGUCUGGAGGAGGGUUCUGGACUUCUGGAAGGAAAGAGAGACAUCAGUAUGCAGAAGAUCCCGACAGCAACAAGAAACAGCAGAGAUCCAGCAGCAGCAGAGAUCAGAGCUAUCAGAAAGACUGGAGAACCUACAGGAGAACCUGCAGGAGGAACCUACAGGAGGACCAGCAGGAGGAACUGAUGGAUGAAGGAGGAGUUGGAGGAGCUGGUUUUGAAACAGUCAUUA
Molecule: long non-coding RNA, 565 nt
Organism: Puntigrus tetrazona (Sumatra barb)
Lineage: Eukaryota; Metazoa; Chordata; Actinopteri; Cypriniformes; Cyprinidae
Exons: 4
Source: RefSeq, a predicted model, not a curated record